GCCGGGGUGGCCGAGCGGACUAAGGCGCAGGCCUUGAGAGCCUGUGGCUCCUCGGGAGCCUCAUGGGUUCGAAUCCCAUCCCCGGCGCCA
This 90-nucleotide transfer RNA is filed under the name Candidatus Bathyarchaeota archaeon ex4484_40. Its description in RNAcentral is "tRNA-Ser". It matches the Rfam family "tRNA". From Rfam's summary of the family: Transfer RNA (tRNA) molecules are approximately 80 nucleotides in length. Lineage: Archaea; Thermoproteati; Candidatus Bathyarchaeota. The record is from RNAcentral. RNAcentral also lists the same sequence under 1 other name.